UACAGAGGGGGCAAGCGUUGUUCGGAAUUACUGGGCGUAAAGGGCGCGUAGGCGGCCUUCUAAGUCGAACGUGAAAUCCCCGGGCUCAACCCGGGAACUGCGUCCGAUACUGGAAGGCUUGAAUCCGGGAGAGGGAUGCGGAAUUCCAGGUGUAGCGGUGAAAUGCGCAGAUAUCAGGAGGAACACCGAUGGCGAAGGCAGGUCUCUGGGCAUUAACUGACGCUGAGGCGCGAAAGCGUGGGGAGCAAACAGG
Molecule: ribosomal RNA, 253 nt
Filed under: uncultured bacterium
Lineage: Bacteria
Description: partial 16S ribosomal RNA
Rfam family: Bacterial small subunit ribosomal RNA
Source: RNAcentral